GCCUUUGUAGUAGCCAUCGCCCCAGCUUAGCAGCGCCGCCGUGUUGCUGAUGUCUUCUCCGGCGAAGUCGUGGGAUAGCUGCCAGAACACGGCGUACGUCCAGCUUUCUCUAGCUCCUUCGAUCAAUGCUUGGAGUCGUUGCUGGAGAGUGUCUUCGGUGACGUGAGGAGGAGGAGGAGUGAGAGGUGGUUGAGGCCAGAGAGAAGAGUGUUCGGAGCCGAUGAGAGGUUCCAUUACAGACGCAUUGUCUUCGGUUGUUG
This 260-nucleotide long non-coding RNA is filed under the name Brassica rapa (field mustard). RNAcentral describes it as "long non-coding RNA (BRAP_LNC000104)". The record is from RNAcentral. Lineage: Eukaryota; Viridiplantae; Streptophyta; Magnoliopsida; Brassicales; Brassicaceae.